Molecule: ribosomal RNA, 274 nt
Filed under: uncultured bacterium
Lineage: Bacteria
Description: partial 16S ribosomal RNA
Rfam family: Bacterial small subunit ribosomal RNA
Source: RNAcentral
AUACGGAGGGUGCAAGCGUUAAUCGGAAUUACUGGGCGUAAAGCGUACGUAGGCGGUCCGUUAAGUUAGAUGUGAAAGCCCCGGGCUUAACCUGGGAACUGCAUUUAAAACUGGCGGACUAGAGUUGAGUAGAGGGGAGUGGAAUUUCAGGUGUAGCGGUGAAAUGCGUAGAGAUCUGAAGGAACACCAGUGGCGAAGGCGACUCCCUGGACUCGAACUGACGCUGAGGUACGAAAGCGUGGGGAGCAAACAGGAUUAGAAACCCGAGUAGUCC